This 588-nucleotide long non-coding RNA is filed under the name Mytilus galloprovincialis (Mediterranean mussel). The record is from RNAcentral. Lineage: Eukaryota; Metazoa; Mollusca; Bivalvia; Mytilida; Mytilidae.
UUUUUAUUCUCAUAAUUGAUAAAACUUACAAUAAAUGUUGGGGAAAUUUCCCAAAAGAUAUGAUAGUUUUAAAAUAUUUGUGGUAAAAAUGUAUAUGACAGUUAUUUAUUUGGGAAAUGUCCCGAAAUCAUUUUCAACAUUAAAUUUUAUGACAUAUAUAUGUUGGCAAAGCAUUUUUACAAACAGACCUGAAACACAUUUCGGGAAAUAUCCCGACAAAAAUAAACUAAGUACAAAAUGUAUAACACAGAUGUCUUCAAAUAUUUCGGGAUUUAUCCCGAAAAUAUGAAAUGUAUAUGCUAGAUCUCAUGACUAAUAAUUUCUUUUCACAUUUCGGGAAAAAUCCCGAAAAUAUAAAACUAAUAUCAGACACACACUUGGUGCAUAGAUUUUAUUUACCCGGAAAAAUCCCGAAAAUUAAAUCUACAAGCAAAAAUUAUGCAUUUUGAUUUCUUUUUACCCAUUUCGGGAAAAAUCCCGAAAUAAAAUCUACAAGCAAAAAUUGUGCAUUUUGAUUUCUUUUUACCCAUUUCGGGAAAAAUCCCGAAAUAAAAAUCUACAGGCAAAAAUUAUGCAUUUUGAUUUCUU